This 274-nucleotide ribosomal RNA is filed under the name uncultured bacterium. RNAcentral describes it as "partial 16S ribosomal RNA". It matches the Rfam family "Bacterial small subunit ribosomal RNA", at positions 523 to 796 of the family's 1533-position model. The record is from RNAcentral.
AUACGGAGGGAGCAAGCGUUAUUCGGAAUCACUGGGCGUAAAGGACGCGUAGGCGGGUUGGCAAGUCAGAUGUGAAAUCCUACAGCUUAACUGUAGAACUGCAUUUGAAACUGCUAACCUAGAGUAUGGGAGGGGGAGAUGGAAUUAGUGGUGUAGGGGUAAAAUCCGUAGAUAUCACUAGGAAUACCGAAAGCGAAGGCGAUCUCCUGGAACAUAACUGACGCUAAGGCGUGAAAGCGUGGGGAGCAAACAGGAUUAGAAACCCUAGUAGUCC